Non-coding RNA from Podarcis lilfordi (Lilford's wall lizard), 73 nucleotides. NCBI's taxonomy places the organism in Eukaryota, Metazoa, Chordata, Lepidosauria, Squamata, Lacertidae. The record is from the annotation of a GenBank genome assembly.
GCCUGGGUAGCUCAGUCAGUACAGCAUGAGACUCUUAAUCUCACGGUCAUGGGUUUGAAUCUCAUCCUGGGGA